This 369-nucleotide long non-coding RNA is filed under the name Marmota monax (woodchuck). Lineage: Eukaryota; Metazoa; Chordata; Mammalia; Rodentia; Sciuridae. The record is from RNAcentral.
AUUUUCAGUUUUGUGUGAGCAAGUUUUUCUAGUGUAGGAAGAUGUAAAGGUAUGAAAUUUUGAGAAUUGUAUCUUAAACUUGUGUCAUAAUUUCCAACAUCCAAACCUGAAAAUUGUGACUUAUGGUUAAAAUGCCUUAGGCAUGAGGCUUCUCCUCAGAAUUCCAGUUUUUCUUGCUCCUUCCAGACCUCAGGCAGGAUUUAAAUUGAAAUGCAAAUACAAGAAGCCUGGAGCUCAGUAGGAGACAGAUCUGAGGCCCAAGGGAAAAAAAAAAAGUAAAUGUGUCUUUUAUCUGAACUCAAACUAGAUUAAACCAAAAAUAAAUUGUGUGGUAUCUACUAAUAACUGGCCAGUCAUGUUUUUUUCUAG